Molecule: ribosomal RNA, 270 nt
Filed under: uncultured bacterium
Lineage: Bacteria
Description: partial 16S ribosomal RNA
Rfam family: Bacterial small subunit ribosomal RNA
Source: RNAcentral
AAUCAACGCUGGCGGCGUGCCUAACACAUGCAAGUCGAGCGCGAAUAGGGGGGUAACUCCCUUAGUAGAGCGGCGAACGGGUGAGUAACGCGUGGGUGAUCUACCUUCGAGUGGGGAAUAACAUCGGGAAACUGGUGCUAAUACCGCAUGACAUCCUUGGUUCACUCCGGGGAUCAAAGCCGGGGACCGCAAGGCCUGGCGCUUGAAGAUGAGCCCGCGUCCGAUUAGCUAGUUGGCGGGGUAACGGCCCACCAAGGCGACGAUCGGUAG